Molecule: ribosomal RNA, 597 nt
Filed under: uncultured organism
Description: bacterial SSU rRNA
Rfam family: Bacterial small subunit ribosomal RNA
Source: RNAcentral
GAGUAGAGUGGCGAAAGGGCGAGGAACACAUGGGAACGUACCUUUGGCUCGGGGAUAGCUGUGGGAAACCGCAUGUAAUACCCGACAUCGCGGAAACGUGAAAGCCGGGGAUCGAAAGACCUGGCGGCCAGAGAGCGGCCCACGUCCUAUCAGCUUGUUGGUGAGGUAACGGCUCACCAAAGCGACGACGGGUACCGGGGCUGAGAGGUUGACCCGGCGCAUCGGGACUGAGACACUGGCCGGACUCCGAGGGGANGCUGCAGCACCGAAUAUUCCACAAUGGGCGAAAGCCUGAUGGAGCGACGCCGCGUGUGGGAGUAAGCCCUUCGGGGUGUAAACCACUGUCAGGGAUCACCAAGCGACCGGGGCGAACAGUCCCGGAAGUUGAGGAGUCCCAGAGGAAGUCACGGCUAACUUCGUGCCAGCAGCCGCGGUAAGACGAAGGUGGCGAGCGUUGUUCGGAAUUACUGGGCUUAAAGAGCACGUAGGUGGGCUUGCAAGCGUCUUGUGAAAGCCCCCGGCUUAACCGGGGAAUUGCAGGGCGAACUGCCAGCCUUGAGGCAGGUAAGGGCGAGUGGAACUCUUGAUGGAGCGGUG